ACGAACGCUGGCGGUGUGCUUAACACAUGCCAGUCGAACGGUAAGGCCCUUUCGGGGGUACACGAGUGGCGAACGGGUGAGUAACACGUGAGUAACCUGCCCUCAUCUCUGGGAUAACAGUCGGAAACGGUUGCUAAUACUGGAUAUGAGCUUGCAAGGCAUCUUGUGGGUUGGAAAGAUUUUUUUUGGUUGGGGAUUGACUCGCGGCCUAUCAGCUUGUUGGUGAGGUAGUGGCUCACCAAGGCUUCGACGGGUAGCCGGCCUGAGAGGGCGACCGGCCACAUUGGGGCGGAGAUACGGCCCAAACUCCUACGGGAGGCAGCAGGGGGGAAUAUUGCACAAUGGACGGAAGUCUGAUGCAGCAACGCCGCGUGCGGGAUGACGGCCUUCGGGUUGUAAACCGCUUUCAAUUGUGACGAAGCUUUUUUGUGACGGUAGCAGUAGAAGAAGCACCGGCUAACUACGUG
RNAcentral lists this ribosomal RNA (467 nucleotides) under uncultured bacterium. RNAcentral's name for it is "partial 16S ribosomal RNA". It matches the Rfam family "Bacterial small subunit ribosomal RNA", at positions 29 to 507 of the family's 1533-position model. The record is from RNAcentral.